Molecule: ribosomal RNA, 948 nt
Filed under: Candidatus Uzinura diaspidicola
Lineage: Bacteria; Pseudomonadati; Bacteroidota; Flavobacteriia; Flavobacteriales
Description: bacterial SSU rRNA
Rfam family: Bacterial small subunit ribosomal RNA
Source: RNAcentral
UAGGGGACCUUAGAGGGCAACCCUCCACACUGGAACUGAGACAAGGACCAGACUUCUACGGAAGGCAGCAGUGAGGAAUAUUGGUCAAUGGAGGAAACUCUGAACCAGCUAUGCCGCGUGUAGGAUGACAGUCUUUUAGAUUGUAAACUACUUUUACAUAGAAAUAAAAGUUACUACGGGAUGGUAACCUGAAGGUACUAUGCGAAUAAGUGUCGGCUAAUUUCGUGCCAGCAGCCGCGGUAAAACGAAAGACACAAGCGUUAUCCGGAUUUAUUGGGUUUAAAGGGUGUGUAGGUUGUUUAUUAAGUCAGUAGUGAAAGCUUACAGCUUAACUGUAAAAUUGCUAUUGAUACUGAUAAACUUGAGUCAGAUUGGAGCGUCUGGAAUGUAUGGUGUAGCGGUGAAAUGCAUAGAUAUCAUACAGAACACCAAUAGCGAAGGCAGGAUGCUAAAUCUUCACUGACACUGAGGCACGAAAGCGUGGGUAGCAAACAGGAUUAGAUACCCUGGUAGUCCACGCCCUAAACUAUGAUCACUAGCUAUUGGAAAAAUUAUAUUCAGUGGCCAAGCUAAAGCGAUAAGUGAUCCACCUGGGAAGUACGAUCGCAAGAUUGAAACUCAAAGGAAUUGACGGGGUUUCGCACAAGCGGUGGAGCAUGUGGUUUAAUUCGAUGAUACGCGAGGAACCUUACCAAGGUUUAAAUGUAUUACGAAUAAGCUGGAAACAACUUAGUCUAUAAGACGUAAUACAAGGUGCUGCAUGGUUGUCUUCAGUUCGUGCUGUGAAGUGUUUGGUUAAGUCCUAUAACGAGCGCAACCCUUAUUGUUAGUUGCCAUCGGGUAAAGCCGGGGACUCUAACAAAACUGCCGGUGUAAAUCGAGAGGAAGGUGGGGAUAAUGUCAAAUCAUCAUGGCCUUUAUGCCUUGGGCUACACACGUGCUACAAUG